Molecule: ribosomal RNA, 544 nt
Filed under: uncultured bacterium
Lineage: Bacteria
Description: bacterial SSU rRNA
Rfam family: Bacterial small subunit ribosomal RNA
Source: RNAcentral
UGGGGAAUAUUGCGCAAUGGGGGGAACCCUGACGCAGCCAUGNCCGCGUGAAUGAAGAAGGCCUUAGGGUUGUAAAGUUCUUUCGGUAUUGAGGAAGGUUGAUGUGUUAAUAGCACAUCAAAUUGACGUUAAAUACAGAAGAAGCACCGGCUAACUCCGUGCCAGCAGCCGCGGUAAUACGGAGGGUGCGAGCGUUAAUCGGAAUAACUGGGCGUAAAGGGCACGCAGGCGGUUAUUUAAGUGAGGUGUGAAAGCCCCGGGCUUAACCUGGGAAUUGCAUUUCAGACUGGGUAACUAGAGUACUUUAGGGAGGGGUAGAAUUCCACGUGUAGCGGUGAAAUGCGUAGAGAUGUGGAGGAAUACCGAAGGCGAAGGCAGCCCCUUGGGAAUGUACUGACGCUCAUGUGCGANAGCGUGGGGAGCAAACAGGAUUAGAUACCCUGGUAGUCCACGCUGUAAACGCUGUCGAUUUGGGGGUUGGGGUUUAACUCUGGCGCCCGUAGCUAACGUGAUNNUCGACCGCCUGGGGAGUACGGCCGNNNNU